This 77-nucleotide transfer RNA is filed under the name Candidatus Omnitrophota bacterium. RNAcentral's name for it is "tRNA-Met". It matches the Rfam family "tRNA". Rfam says of the family: Transfer RNA (tRNA) molecules are approximately 80 nucleotides in length. Their secondary structure includes four short double-helical elements and three loops (D, anti-codon, and T loops). Lineage: Bacteria; Pseudomonadati; Candidatus Omnitrophota. The record is from RNAcentral.
CGCGGGGUGGAGCAGCCUGGUAGCUCGUGAGGCUCAUAACCUUAAGGUCGUCGGUUCAAAUCCGACCCCCGCAACCA